Molecule: ribosomal RNA, 443 nt
Filed under: uncultured bacterium
Lineage: Bacteria
Description: partial 16S ribosomal RNA
Rfam family: Bacterial small subunit ribosomal RNA
Source: RNAcentral
CCUACGGGUGGCUGCAGUGGGGAAUAUUGGGCAAUGGGCACAAGCCUGACCCAGCAACGCCGCGUGAAGGAAGAAGGCUUUCGGGUUGUAAACUUCUUUUCUUAGGGACGAAGAAAGUGACGGUACCUCAGGAAUAAGCCACGGCUAACUACGUGCCAGCAGCCGCUGUAAUACGUAGGUGGCAAUCGUUAUGCGGAUUUAUUGGGUGUAAAGGGGGGGUAGGCGGGAAAGCAAGUCAGAUGUGAAAACUCAGGGCUCAACCCCGGGCCUGCAUUUGAAACUGUUGUGCUUGAGUGCUGGAGAGGCAAUCGGAAUUCGUGGUGUAGCGGUGAAAUGCGUAGAUAUACGGAGGAACACCAGUGGCGAAGGCGGAUUGCUGGACAGUAACUGACGCUGAGGCGCGAAAGCGUGGGGAGCGAACAGGAUUAGAUACCCUGGUAGUC